Molecule: long non-coding RNA, 1367 nt
Organism: Thunnus maccoyii (southern bluefin tuna)
Lineage: Eukaryota; Metazoa; Chordata; Actinopteri; Scombriformes; Scombridae
Exons: 6
Source: RefSeq, a predicted model, not a curated record
ACACAGCAGGUUGAUUAUCAAACUGUACUGCGUUUUUUCCUUAAGUGCUGUACUGGUGCUUGUAGUCUGAGUAUCUAAAUUGCAUGCUGCUCUGUGUGUCUGCUUCAUUACAUCUCAGAGAAAAGUGUUUUUACUUCACUUCAUUAAUUUGACAAUUAAAACUACUAGUUAGAUUGCAGAUUAAGAUUUUGAAAACCUACUGUAUAAAAACAAUAAUAAAAUUUAAUGCAUUGUUAUAAAGUACAUUUAAGUACCUGAAAAUAUAUUUGUUGAGUUAGCUCCACAUCAACCAAUCAAUAAUAGUAAUACUAUAAUAUAAUAUAUAAUAAUAUAACACUGAUAGUCUGUCUGCAUAAUGAGUCCUUUUACUUUUGAUACCUUAAGUACAUUUUGCUGAUAAUACAUAUGUACUUGUUGUAAUUGAGUCUGUCACUGUUAUAUUACUUCUUAAGCAUCUGCAUGUGCUACUUAACAUUGAUCCGAAAACUGACUACCAACAUUGCUACAUUUUUGCAUAUGUGUUGACUGAAUGACCCCCACUGACUCCAUGUUGUGACCUUCACAUAUUCUCCUUUUCCUCUCAGCUUCCAGCAUCUCUGUCACCAGUUGCAGAGGAAAGUGGAACACUUUGAGCAUGAUAUAUUGUGCAGCAACACAAGUUGCUACCUCAUUCUGUGCUUCAACAGCGAAAGAUGCUUCAACAGAGUUGCCAAAUGUCUGAAUUUGACCACAGAGCAAAACAUGGCCCUCAAGAUUCUUAACCCUGAUUGCUAAAACAGAGAUCGACAUGCUCGAAGUUGCAUGUAUUCUUGACCCCAUCAAAAAGAAUGUGGUGCAUUUUUUUUAAAAAAGUUCGAGCAUUGAGGACAAACCUGUCUAGCUUUUGAAAUGCUAGACAGGAGUCUUUAUCAGCUAUUUGUGGACAGAUGCUGGAAGCCACUGUCUCUCAGUGAGAUAUGGCCUAUAGCACAUCAGAAGCCUGAAGCCAGAUAAUAUAAUGCUGAUGAACCAUCAGGGCAGGCCCUUCAGAUUUAAAUGAAGAGACUUUGGGGUGUCCCUUACUGCCUCUGGCAUGAAAAUUCAGCCUCUUUUUCAUUCAGGGCACCAGAAGUCACAUUCUUGUGUCUUGCCAAUCAGCUGUUUGCGGUAAACUGCAAGUACCGGAUGAUAAGGAGCAUCGUUGAGAUUCUGAGCCAGCCAGCUGACCACCCUCUCUUUGCUGGAAAGCAGUUCUUCAAGGUGAACCGGCACUGGGACUACCUUAAAUAGUGGCAGAAGAGAUGUAGGAGCUGACUCAGUUAGAAGAUUGGAGAGCAUUUGUGGGCUUCCUGAAAUGUCUUCUGCACUCUGACCCUGAGCAGAGGAUC